ACUGCUGGCAGCUCCCAGGCUGCCAUGUGCAACUCAGCUCCAGCUCCUCCCUGGUUUACAGCCUUGGGCUGUGGUCUUCAGGGAGCAGAGUGGAAAUGGACUUUGAGACAGGAAAACUGGGGAAGAAAAUAAUACCUGCUGUGAGAUGAAAAUAUCUUGGUGUGAGUAUAUGUCUGCAUUUGUAUGUGUGUGCUCGGUUCAUGUGGGAGGAAGUAAAAGGUGAGUGUGAGAUGAGAGGAAAGGAGGAGAGUGGGCUGGCAUUCGCUUUCAGCAGGUGUGCACAGUUGGAAAGGUGUCACUGCAGCGACUCCAACUGCUCUGUCCCACCCACUUCCUUCACCCUGUUCUCCUUCCCCUCCUUCCCUGGAUCUCCAUGUGGCCUGGCUACACACGUCCCCAGGGAACAAAUACCCUAAUCUGGAAGGGAGAUAGAAGCUAAGGGCGGACAGCUGUGCUGCUUCAGAAUACGAGUAGUUUGAGUAAAGUCAGUCAUCAAAAGACAAAUGGAGUCAGGAAGGGAUGGAGAAAGGAAGAUGGAGGGACGGAAGAAGAAAGGACAGAGAGGGACAGGCAGAAACUGGGUGGAGGUGGAGGGAGACAGACAGACAGACAGAGAGACAGAAACAGUUUUAAUUUCACAAAACUGUGAGAGAAUCUGAGAAGCACCGUUACACAAAACACCUCCUGGGUAUUCAUUCAUCAGCAUGUGGCUUCCUUACUCCUGAAUAAUAAUGAUAGCAAGUGGAAUAAAUGAAAACCCUCUGGCCUUAGCCCUCUUAAGAGCUUGCAAUAUGAUACACAUAUUGUUUUAUAUAGCAAGGGAGUUGUCAGGUAAUCUAGGUUGCCACAUUGCCUAAAACAGAAAGUACACUGGACUCUCAAAGACAAAAAGAGAAUGUGAAGAUUUAGAUUCAGUCUUUGAUUAUUUCUUCUAAUGCUCAAAGGAUGACCCUAAAGAUACUAAACCAAAUUCUGUCAGUUCCUUUUCAAUUGUUGAACUUGACGAACAUUUAAAAGAAGCCAAACAUAUUUAUGGAUGAUUUGCAAAGGAUGGAAUUAAAGUCUUCAUUUCUGUGUCCUAAAAUUCGUUUUCACCUCACUUCCUGGCUAUAUCUUUACUUUCUCUCGUCUCAAACAAAACUUAAGUCUUCUUCAAAAUUGACCUCUUUCUUAAAAACAAGUCAUCAAAACAAAUUGUAUAAAACUUUUUGUUUUUGUAUAUUUUACUAUCAUAUGAUUUUUUUUUUGACACAGUCUUGCUCUGUGGCCCAGGCUGGAGUGCAGUGGCACAAUCUCAGCUCACUGCAACCUCCGUCAAGUGAUUCUCCUGCCUCAGCCUCCCAAGUAGUUGAGAUUACAGGCGUGCGCCAACACGCCCAGUGAAUUUUUUAUAUUUUUAGUAGAAACGGGGUUUCACCAUGCUGGCCUGGUUGGUCUUGAACUCCUCACCUCAGGUGAUCCACCCACCUUGGCCUCCCAAAGCGCUAGGAUUACAGGUGUGGGCCACCAUGCCCGGCUCCAUCAUGUGAAUUUUAACUACAGUGGCCAGAGCCUCAGGUGGAUCUUCCAAGUGUACAAGGACAAAACGAGAGUUGGUUUUUGAUUUUGAAAAUACCAAUCUAAUCCUUGGUGUAGCUUAAUCUCUUAUUUCAUUAUCGACUAACUCUGUGGCUUUCCAGAAACUGCUUCUCCUUGAUUUUCUAAAGUUAGGUAACUUCAGGUAACAACACUUCCCUGAUCUGGUUACAUUUCAGGAGCUAUUAGAAAGGUGGUAUUAUAAUCCAUUCCUUUAAAAAUAAAUCUGUUGCAGAUGUAAAAAAAAAAAAAAAAAGAAGAAAAGAAAGGUGGUAUUAUAAAUUCAACAUUUUUAUGACACUGAAAACAGUAAAUUACCAUUAAAAUGCCUCUUUUGUCCAGAAAAUCUCACACACAUUGCAGACAUUUAGUAGUCAUUAUUUCCCUCUGAAGGAAAAAAAUUAGGUGGCAAUAAUUUUUCUUAUAAAUGGAGAAAAUUUGAGUUAAGGAAAUAGGUGCUUAUACUCAUAUCACAAAGUCUGUGAAGCUCAUCGGAAAACAAAAACAGAUAUUCAGGGGUUUUCUUUUCCUUUCGUUUUCCAAUCCAGCCCCUCAAAUAUUCUAUUAAUAAUAUAACCACCUAAAAUGGCAUAAUAAAAAUUGGAAAAGAAAGACCUCAUUUUACUCAGAAAAUCACUUUCACAUAAACCAGUUCCUGUAGUUCAUUAUUUUUUCUAGAAUUCUCACACAAGCCCAGUGUUUCAAAGUGAGUUUUCCAUUUAAAUACCUCUGUAAGCCCUUGGUUAAAAUACAGUACUGUGUAAAAAUUUUCACCACCGUAAAUAUCUGUCAGAUAGUUGCCUGUAAAUCAAAUGAAAUUUCAAAAUGUGUUUUGAACAUUGUUAUGAUGCAAUAUAAGUAAACACUAUUGUUCUUAAGACCUUCAUCAUCAAUUGAUUGUAAAACUAUUUAUAAAAAGACACUGAGUAUGAAAUGCCCUGGUGAUAAAUAAAAGGAUACAAAAGAAAGACUUAAACUGCCUAGAAGGUAUUACUCAGAUGAACACAGAUGAAGUGAUUCACUGUACUUACUGGGUUAGUGAGAAUUUGGUUUAGUAUCUUUAGGGUCAUGCUUUGAGGAUUAGAAGAAAUAAUCAAAGUCUGAAUCUAAAUCUUCACGUUCUCUCUCUCUUUCUCUCUCUUUUUUUAGAUUCUACUGUACUUUCUAUUUCAGACAAUGCGGCAACCUAGAUUACCUAACUGCCAACUUCCUUGCUAUAUAAAACACCUAGAAUUGUUGGGUUAAAUAUACUACCUUUUGGAUGAAUUCAUUUAGCAUCUCUUGAGUGUUUACUUUAUGCCAGGCUCUGUUCUAGGCACUGAAGUUAUAUCCAUGAACAAAAAGCCAACAAUCUCAGCCUGCCUGUGGAACUUACACUUUGGGUUAAUUGACUGAAUUGGAAAGAAAGAAUAAGCCAAAAGCAGAGGGAAGAGAAAAAACGUAAAGUGCAGGUAAGCUGGCAUAGCUUUCCUGAGGAGGUCUGCCAGUUUCUGUAAUCUUUUUCUUUUUUCUGGUUUUUUGUUUUUUUUUUUCUUUUGAGACGGAGUCUCGCUCUGUCUCCAGGCUGGAGUGCAGUGGUGCAAUCUCAGCUGACUGCAACCUCCGCCUCUGAGGUUCAAGUGAUUCUCCUGCCCCCCGAGUAGUUGGGAAUACAAGUGUGCACCACCACGCCCAGCUAAGUUUUGUAUUUUUAGAGAUGGGGUUUCACCAUGUUGGCCAGGAUGGUCUUGAUCUCUUCAUCUCGUGAUCCACCUGCCUCAGCCCCCCAAAGUGUUGGGAUUAUAGGCGUGAGCCAUUGCACUUGGCCCACCUUUUUCUUUUUCUUUUUUUUUUUUUUUUUUUUUUUGAGACAGGGUCUCGCUCUAUUGCUGGGCAUGUGCCACCAAACCUGGAUAAUUUUUGUAUUGUUUGUAGACACAGGUUUUCACUAUGUUGCCCAGGCUGAUCUAGAACUCCCGGGCUCAAGUGUUCCUCCCACCUCAGCCUCCAAAAGUGCUGGGGUUACAGGCGUGAAUCAACAUGCCCAGCCCUCUGUAACCUUUUUAAUGAACAAGGAGAAGACUAGGUAGGUCUCAACUGUUACUGAGACUCCUAGAUAACGCCUGGACCCUUGAAGUGUCACGCCCUCAUUCAAAGAGGAAACUUUAAAAAUUUUCUCACUGCAAAGGGAACAAUAAGAAAUCUCCUAUGUUGUCUUAAACAACUUGUUUUUUCCUGAUAGGAAAAUUUUACCCACUAGCCUGGGCCUCCCUGGGAUUGGAAUAUUAGAUUGAAACUUAAACUAUCAUUAUGGUUCUGGAACCCCAAGCCAAGAAAUUAAUAUUAAAAGUGGUCUUGGGUCAGCAAUGCUUCUGCCUGAGGCACCCGGCAGAAGCAAAUCAAACGUUUUUUGUUUUUGUUUUUGUUUGAGACAGAGUCUUGCUUGGUUGCCCAGGCUGGCGUGCAGCGGUGCGAUCUCGGCUCACUGAAACCUCCUUCUGCCUCCCGGGUACAAGCGAUUCUCCUGCCUCAGCCUCCCAAGUAGCUGUGAUUACAGGCGCACACCACCAAGCCCAGCUAAUUUUUUGUAUUUUUAGUAGAGAUGGGGUUUCACCAUGUUGGCCAGGCUGGUCUCAAAUUCCUGACCUCAAGUGAUCUGCCCACCUCGGCCUCCCAAAGUGCUGGGAUUACAGGCGUGAGCCACUGCGCCCGGCCGCAAACCGUUUUUAAAAGAAUAUACUCUCAAACCAAGUCACAAAGGAUUUCUAAGACCGAACCUUGCUUUCAGUGAGUUCACAAACUACAAAAUUUAAGAGGAAACAAUCUACCUUCAGCUACAGUCUACAGACAAAACAAAAAGCAGCAAUUUGUCUUCCCCAAACUUGGGGCAUGUUGUCAAGAAGGAAAUGAAGAGGAAGUAUUCGUAUUAAGGCAGUACCGUAGAAAUUCAAUUUUAAAUGGAAGAAUGCUUGCUUUACUUUGAGCUGGAGGUCAGAGUGCUAUCCAGCAAAGGCCAGUGUGGAGACCCCAGUCCAGCCGUGAUAGCAGAAGCAUUCUUCCGUUACAGGGAAACUACACUGCAUAUUAAAUAGGGGAACAGAGAUGAAAAAAUAAUUUGAAUGUUAGUUUCCAGUUUUAUAAUUAACACUUUUUAGUAUGUGGGCGGUCUUUUGUCUCAUUUUUAAAUUCUCUAUUUGAGCUUUUGAUUUUCCUCCCUCUUAUGCUAAGAAACAAAAAUAUAUGUGAGGUUAAAAAAAUCUCUAAAAGCAAUGACUUAAAAAAUGACAAGACUCUAGAUAUCAUUCCUUUUCUUCUUGGCCUUAUAGUACAUCUCAGUGUUGGCAGAUUACUAAUUAAUAUAUUUUGCAUUAAGAUAUUUUUCCUAAUAUUCUUUUUUCUUUUUUAUUUUUCUUUUUGAGAGGGAGUCUCGCUCUGUCGCCCAGGCUGGAGUGUAAUGGCGCAAUCUUGGCUCACUGCAACCUCCGCCUCCUGGGUUCAAGAGAUUCUCCCGCCUCAGCCUCCUGAAUAGCUGGGAUUAUAGGCACUCACCAUCAUGCCUGCCUAAUUAUUGUGUUUUUGUAGGGAUGGGUUUUCACCAUGUUGGCCAGGAUGGUCUUGAACUCCUGACCUCAGGUGAUCCGCCCUCCUCGGCCUCCCAAAGUGCUGGGAUUACAGGCGUGAGUCACUGCACCCGGCCUAUUUUUCCUAAUAUUCUUAAGGGAUUAUUAGAGUUAUUAAAUUAAACAGUACUACAAAGUACAGUCCCAUAGGCUCAGCUUUGAUUAUUUCCACAAUUUACUAUCAAAUAUUUGAGACAGCAUUAUUAAAAGUCAAUGGACUUCUGGUUUAUAAAGAACCGGUAACUCUUUAAUUUCUUACUUUGAUCAUACACACCACUGCCAUGUUUAUACUUUUGUGAGGUCAUCAAAAUAAAGUCAAACAAUUUCAUGUUAUAUUAAAAACAAUAUAAUAUCUGCUUCCUUUGUGAUUUCUUCUUAUUUAUUAUGUAAAAAGAAAAACCUGGGUAAUUUAAAUUCUUUUAACCUUACACAUGUUCUAGAGUACUGGAAAAAAUUAAAAGUACAAUUUACAUUAACAUGUUCAAUAAUCUGCUUUUUGUAUGACAAUAAAAUUAGAGGUAGCACACCUUAAAUAUAUAAUUUUACUUAAAAAUAUUCACCAUAAUCAAGUGACAGUUGUACUUAAAUGAUUAUUUGAGCAAGAUAAUUAGUAUUCUUAGAAUAUUUUCUAACUUUCAAACAAUGGAUAUUGUUGAAAUCCAAGUUAUACACAACACAUUACUGCACACAUAAAAAUGACAAGUGAUCGUAGAAUAAUCUCAGAAACAUUCUUUAAAUUCAAAAUGUACCACACAUAAUUUGCAAUCAAAGUUGACCCAUCAGGGUUAGCAGUAAAUGUUCUGCCCUGGCACUGAGUUGAAACAGGUAAGUUCAUCAAAGGGGCUAUGAUACCUGCCAUGCCUUCCUUCAUGCUUGUUGCUCACAGAGACUAGCAUAAUGAAAACACUUUCUGAUUUCAAGGCAAGUCAGAAAUAUGAAGAUUUAUAACCUGGCAGAUCUAAUGGAGCUGUCAAAAAGGGAAGUUACACUCACAGUGAAAUGGUCACAUCAUGAUCUAGUUUUCAUCCUGAUUGAAAAAAAAAAUCUUUGUGAAGAACCCUACAAAUGUUUUUGGUAAAAGAGAUUCACAAUAAAAGAAGAAGAAAAAUAAAAAUAGAGCGAUGAAGAGGUAUUUUUUCAAAACAUGAGAGCCGAAGUCGGAGAUAAUGUCGUACAUGAGACAGUGAAUUUAGGAGAGUGCCCCCCUCUAAGUGCAUUAUUCCCCUUUCAUUUAGAAUACAGAAAAGAGUCAGAGGAAGACAAAAGAAAAGGAAAGAACCAAACUUCCAAAAUAGCAUUACACUACAUUAUUAAUAGCGUCACACUAAGAGAAAUGACAGCUCUCAAAAGAGUACUUUUGUCUCCACUUACUUUAAUUAAACUCCCUAGACUACAAAGUGAAUCUCAAUCUCUUUUUUAAACAUAAAAAAAUCAAAGCUGAUUAAGAUGUGAUUUCUGUCCUCUAAUGGUCCUCACCCUUAGUUAUAUACUAUUUAAAACAACAGAAACAGCAGCAGCAGCAGCAACGGACCUCAACAUCCUGCAAAUUUUCUCAAAAGGACCAAAAUGUCAUACUCUGCUCCUCUGCCUUCUCACAGAUAAAUUAGUUUCCAGUGUGUCCCUCCCUCUGUAGCCAGCACUAAACCUCAUUUAAACUUCAAAUGAGAAUUAUAGCACAAUUAUACUAGUAUGAAUGUUUCAAUUAAUGUAACUUUCCUUAUACCAGAGUCCUGUAACAACUUUGCUUUAAAAUAAGCUGAUGAGAUUUUAAAGGUUCACUGCAAAAUAUGAUCCCUGAAAAUUAAUCCAUAUUGGCGGAAAAAAAGAGAAGUUUUCAAAUUUGUGGAAAUAAUUUCAAAAAUCCAUUACAGCCAAUGUAAUGUCAUUACUCUUCUACUAAAAAAUCUUAAAGGAAAACAUAUUUCUCUCUUCCCUAUGUGCACUGUCCAUCUGUCCCAAACUAAAUGUAUCAUCCUCGUUUUAUACUCUCUGCCCAAUCCAAGAUCUCCUCCUCUUUCUCAACUAUUUCACCUUUCCACUGAAAUCCCCAUUUUCUACUCAAAAGUUUGGUGACAUUUUGACUCUUGCUCUUUGAUUCUUUGAUCCAAAUCAACAAUUUUCUUGUUAGCUUAUUCAAAAUGUUAUUUGGUUAUGUUCUUUCCUCUGUUUUCCCAUUGCAUUAUCCUACCUAGACCCUUCCCUACCUCUCAUUUAUUAAAUAAAUCACUCUCUGCUGACUAGAUAUGUGCUCUGAGGAAAUAGAAUGCUGCUCUCUCUGCCUACUGACUUUCUCUACUCCAAUAUAUUCUGUUUAAAACCAACAUGGCAUUUUCAAAACUUUGUUUUUUGUCUAGAACCAACAAUGGUUCACCGCUGCGAAGCCACAAGUCCUAACUGUAUUUAUCCAUAAUGUUAAGUACCGUGGAGAUACAGAAGAAGGCAGGUGUAUUGGCCUAAAGGGGCUUAUUCCCUAAUUGAGGAGAUGGGACUUCCAUUCCUGAGACAGCGAGAACACAAAUCUCAGGCAGGUGCAAAAUAAUAAACUACAUGAAGAAGGUGAACAAGGAAACAUUUGCUUUGUGCCGGGGUUGGUUUCGAAGGCUUAAAGUGUAGACUAACAUUUAGCUAAACCUUGAAGAGAAGCACAGUUAGCAAAGUCAAAGCAGGAAGACUGGAGAUUUCCAAACAACACUGGUUUGGAAAGCAACUUAAGAGAGAGUUCUGGAUAGAUAAAGUGGGGCCAACCAACCACUUUCACCUCCAAGUGGAAGAAUCUGUACCUGAUUUGGUAGGCCACACAGAGGUUCCUGGGAAGAAAUUUAUUAUGAGAAAAGAAGUCAGAGGGAGAUUAACCUGAGUGCUCUUCCAGAGUACAAGGGCCAUGUGACAGCAAUCAGGCUGUGAAGUGAUGACUAUUUUCUUAAGGGCCAUGUGACAGCAAUCAGGCUGUGAAGUGAUGACUAUUUUCUUAAGAAUGUGAGCUGAGAGACUCAUGUAGUAUUGGUUGAUUCAUUCAUUCCACAGAUAUUCACUCAAGCACCUAUCACAGCACCUAUCAAGCACCUAUCACAGCUAAAAACAAACAUAAAAACCUCUGCCCUUGUAGAGCUUACAUUGUAGCAAGUGGAGGGGAAGAAGGGGAGAACAAUAUGCAGGAAACAUAAUAAAUUAGUAAAUGAAAGGGAAGGUGAUAUUGACAGAAUACAAGGCAGGGUAGGCGAUUAGAACUGCUGGAGAAGGAAUCAAAAUUUUAAAUUGGGGCUGGGGUGGUGGCUCACGCCUGUAAUCCCAGCACUUUGGGAGGCCUAAGUGCGCGGAUCACGAGGUCAGAAGUUUGAGACCAGCCUGGCCAAUAUGGUGAAACCCCGUCUCUACUAAAAAUACAAAAAUUAGCUGGGCGUGGUGGUGGGUGCCUGCAAUCCCAGCUACUUGGGAGGCUGAUGCAGGAGAAUUGCUUGAACCUGGGAGGUGGAGCUUGCAGUGAGUGGAGAUUGCGCCAUUGCACUCCAGCCUGGGCAACACAGCAAGACUCCAACUCAAAAAAAAAAAAAUUAAAUUGGGUCAUCAGAAUAGCAUUUACUGAAAAUAUGACAUUUAAGCAAAAACUUAAAAAUAAAAAUGGGAAUCCUCCUCAGGAGGGAAGGCAAUAAAUUAGAUUUCAGAGGUGAUAAUGGUUUAGAAAUGUUUACAUGUUAGGAUAUUUAUGUGUACCAUCUCCUAAGUUUCUGAGUACUUGAGGAAUCAUAAAGAUAGUUAAUACUGGAUAAAUAAGUACUAUUACCUAUGUGCAUGAAAACCAUAGAUAUUCACGCUAAUAAAAAUAGAUUCCCCAAAUUUAUUUUUCUUCCAGAUUCCCUGGAUUCCUAGGUUGUUAAUAGAGCGCGUGCAUUUAACUGUGAAUGACUCCACUGCUAUUUCUGAAAUAACCACU
This 9105-nucleotide long non-coding RNA is filed under the name Homo sapiens (human). Its description in RNAcentral is "non-protein coding lnc-DCTD-22:3". The record is from RNAcentral. Lineage: Eukaryota; Metazoa; Chordata; Mammalia; Primates; Hominidae.